Molecule: transfer RNA, 77 nt
Filed under: Leifsonia sp. Leaf264
Lineage: Bacteria; Bacillati; Actinomycetota; Actinomycetes; Micrococcales; Microbacteriaceae
Description: tRNA-Arg
Rfam family: tRNA
About the family: Transfer RNA (tRNA) molecules are approximately 80 nucleotides in length. Their secondary structure includes four short double-helical elements and three loops (D, anti-codon, and T loops). Further hydrogen bonds mediate the characteristic L-shaped molecular structure. tRNAs have two regions of fundamental functional importance: the anti-codon, which is responsible for specific mRNA codon recognition, and the 3' end, to which the tRNAs corresponding amino acid is attached (by aminoacyl-tRNA synthetases). tRNAs cope with the degeneracy of the genetic code in two manners: having more than one tRNA (with a specific anti-codon) for a particular amino acid; and 'wobble' base-pairing, i.e. permitting non-standard base-pairing at the 3rd anti-codon position.
Source: RNAcentral
GCGCCCGUAGCUCAGUUGGAUAGAGCGUCGGAAUACGAAUCCGAAGGCCGGGAGUUCAAGUCUCUCCGGGCGCACCA